UUUCCCCCUCAAAAAAUAUUUUCAGAAUGUUUAAAAUGACUACUUUUUUUCUCUCUAUAAAAUAUGACUUUUCAAGUCUUUUUCUCCUAUGAUAUUUUUUUCCCUCUGAAAAUACACUUGUAUGGCAAUGAAUGGCUUACAAAGGUAUUUAGAGGGGCAGAGUUUUACCCUGGAACAGAUCAUUUGCAUCUCCUUUGGGGGUGGCUUUGAAAUGGCAGCAUGGACAACCAUAGGAAUUUGGGACGCGAAUCACAGCUUGCAGCGUUGACAUUGUCACAUUGUGUCCACCUGAGCCAUCUGUCCCCUUGCGACACGCCGGCAACGCCGCGCAACGCUCGACCCGUCCAAAUAGGGCCAAUCACGUCUUUCUAUUCUCGUCCUUCCUCAUCCCGCCCACUGGCUUUAUAAGAGCGUCGCAGCCUGGGCACUGGUUUGGCACAAGACCUCCCAGAGCAAGACAUGUAAAAGACACAAAAUAAUAGCCAGUGUCCUCCAUGGCCUUGAUGAUGAUGAUGAUGAUGAUAUAUGGAACUUAAUGAUAAGAGCCACACACUGCAGGUGAUCAAUCCAGGGCGCACCCGCGCCUCUUACCCGAUGUCAGCCGGGACAGACUCCAUGGUGGAAAGAAACACCGGCAAAGAAAAUUUUCGACGACAUGUACAAUCUCCUACUCCAAGACGACAAUGUCAUCAGCGCAAAGGCAGGCUGUGUGCGU
Long non-coding RNA from Phyllopteryx taeniolatus (common seadragon), 715 nucleotides. RefSeq lists it as uncharacterized. The record is from RefSeq and is a predicted model, not a curated record. NCBI's taxonomy places the organism in Eukaryota, Metazoa, Chordata, Actinopteri, Syngnathiformes, Syngnathidae. The transcript has 3 exons.